AAGGAUAAUAUGAUAAUAUGAACUAAGAUAAUAUGAACUUUAGGAAAGAAUUUCCUACUCCUUCAUGCUUUCUGAGCUGAUUCAUUGUCUCCGCCUUAAAAGCUGACAGGUUAAGAAGGAACCAUACUGGGGGGUGUGGGGGAGAAGAAGAAAAAAAGAGUAGAGAUUAUAUUUUUAUGCAACACUGUCAUAUCAGAAAAAAGGUUCAGGUUGCCAACCUUAAAUCCUGAUAUAUCUGGGGAUGCGUGAGGCUUAAUACUUCAGGAAAUGUUCUCAGACCCAUGACUGAGCCAUGAUACCUUGUACCUCCCCCAGAGAGGAGAUGGGGUGACUAAGAAAUGUCAAGCAGUUUCAGAGUCAUAGCCUGUCUCAUCUAUAAAUUUCAAAUUGGGUGUUCUUUUUGAAUUCUUAAUGCUCUCCAAAAUCUGCUGGAAUUUUUAAGUGUACAUUUAAAUUUUUAAACAUUUUGUAAAACUUCCCAUGGCAUCUGGAAAAUAAAGAAACAGUGUGUGUUUAAGAUAUUAAGCUAGCAAUAUUUCUUCAGAAAAAAAUCAGCAAAUUUUAUAUGAGGAAGGAAAUAAGUCUUCUGGGAUAGCACUCAGCAAAUUCAGAUACAUAGCUGAUGUUUAAUGCCUAAGUUCCAUUUCUGACAUCCCAGUAGGACCUGCUAAAAAUGGAUACAACAAGGAGAAAAAUUAAGAUAAGCAGAGUAAGAAUCUUAGAAAUUUUUUCUCAUAAUCUUCAGGAUGUACCACAAACAUGGACAUGCAUUCAGCAGGUAGUCAAACACAGAAGCAUGGACCAUGUAAGUAUGAUGG
RNAcentral lists this long non-coding RNA (818 nucleotides) under Cyanistes caeruleus (blue tit). RNAcentral describes it as "lncRNA (ENSCCEG00000009851.1)". The record is from RNAcentral. Lineage: Eukaryota; Metazoa; Chordata; Aves; Passeriformes; Paridae.